Molecule: ribosomal RNA, 474 nt
Filed under: uncultured organism
Description: partial 16S ribosomal RNA
Rfam family: Bacterial small subunit ribosomal RNA
Source: RNAcentral
CACUCCUGCGGGAGGCAGCAGUGGGGAAUUUUGGACAAUGGGCGAAAGCCUGAUCCAGCAAUGCCGCGUGAGUGAAGAAGGCCUUCGGGUUGUAAAGCUCUUUUGUCAGGGAAGAAACGGUGAAAGCUAAUAUCUUUUCUAAUGACGGUACCUGAAGAAUAAGCACCGGCUAACUACGUGCCAGCAGCCGCGGUAAUACGUAGGGUGCAAGCGUUAAUCGGAAUUACUGGGCGUAAAGCGUGCGCAGGCGGUUUUGUAAGUCUGAUGUGAAAUCCCCGGGCUCAACCUGGGAAUUGCAUUGGAGACUGCAAGGCUAGAAUCUGGCAGAGGGGGGUAGAAUUCCACGUGUAGCAGUGAAAUGCGUAGAUAUGUGGAGGAACACCGAUGGCGAAGGCAGCCCCCUGGGUCAAGAUUGACGCUCAUGCACGAAAGCGUGGGGAGCAAACAGGAUUAGAAACCCGAGUAGUCCCAUGA